This 497-nucleotide ribosomal RNA is filed under the name uncultured bacterium. Its description in RNAcentral is "partial 16S ribosomal RNA". It matches the Rfam family "Bacterial small subunit ribosomal RNA", at positions 28 to 507 of the family's 1533-position model. The record is from RNAcentral.
GAUGAACGCUGGCGGCGUGCCUAAUACAUGCAAGUCGAGCGAACGGACGAGAAGCUUGCUUCUCUGAUGUUAGCGGCGGACGGGUGAGUAACACGUGGAUAACCUACCUAUAAGACUGGGAUAACUUCGGGAAACCGGAGCUAAUACCGGAUGAUAUUUUGAACCGCAUGGUUCAAAAGUGAAAGACGGUCUUGCUGUCACUUAUAGAUGGAUCCGCGCUGCAUUAGCUAGUUGGUAAGGUAACGGCUUACCAAGGCAACGAUGCAUAGCCGACCUGAGAGGGUGAUCGGCUACACUGGAACUGAGAAACGGUCCAGACUCCUACGGGAGGCAGCAGUAGGGAAUCUUCCGCAAUGGGCGAAAGCCUGACGGAGCAACGCCGCGUGAGUGAUGAAGGUCUUCGGAUCGUAAAACUCUGUUAUUAGGGAAGAACAUAUGUGUAAGUAACUGUGCACAUCUUGACGGUACCUAAUCAGAAAGCCACGGCUAACUACGUG